GUGGGGAAUAUUGGACAAUGGGCGAAAGCCUGAUCCAGCCAUGCCGCGUGUGUGAAGAAGGUCUUCGGAUUGUAAAGCACUUUAAGUUGGGAGGAAGGGCAGUAAGUUAAUACCUUGCUGUUUUGACGUUACCGACAGAAUAAGCACCGGCUAACUUCGUGCCAGCAGCCGCGGUAAUACGAAGGGUGCAAGCGUUAAUCGGAAUUACUGGGCGUAAAGCGCGCGUAGGUGGUUUUGUAAGUUUGAGGUGAAAACCCCAGGAUCAACCUGGGAACUGACUGCAAAACUGCAUUACUAUAGUACGGUAGAGGGUAGUGGAAUUUCCUGUGUAGCGGUGAAAUGCGUAGAUAUAGGAAGGAACACCAGUGGCGAAGGCGACUACCUGGACUGAUACUGACACUGAGGUGCGAAAGCGUGGGGAGCAAACAGGAUUAGAUACCCUUGUAGUCC
RNAcentral lists this ribosomal RNA (450 nucleotides) under uncultured bacterium. RNAcentral describes it as "partial 16S ribosomal RNA". It matches the Rfam family "Bacterial small subunit ribosomal RNA", at positions 354 to 796 of the family's 1533-position model. The record is from RNAcentral.